RNAcentral lists this ribosomal RNA (130 nucleotides) under Liliaceae sp. BOP010517. RNAcentral describes it as "partial 5.8S ribosomal RNA". It matches the Rfam family "5.8S ribosomal RNA", at positions 30 to 154 of the family's 154-position model. From Rfam's summary of the family: 5.8S ribosomal RNA (5.8S rRNA) is a component of the large subunit of the eukaryotic ribosome. Lineage: Eukaryota; Viridiplantae; Streptophyta; Magnoliopsida; Liliales; Liliaceae. The record is from RNAcentral.
GCAUCGAUGAAGAACGUAGCGAAAUGCGAUACUUGGUGUGAAUUGCAGAAUCCCGUGAACCAUCGAGUCUUUGAACGCAAGUUGCGCCCGAGGCCUUUCGGUUGAGGGCACGCCUGCCUGGGCGUCACGC